RNAcentral lists this transfer RNA (72 nucleotides) under Martensiomyces pterosporus. RNAcentral describes it as "tRNA-Met". It matches the Rfam family "tRNA". Rfam says of the family: Transfer RNA (tRNA) molecules are approximately 80 nucleotides in length. Their secondary structure includes four short double-helical elements and three loops (D, anti-codon, and T loops). Lineage: Eukaryota; Fungi; Kickxellomycota; Kickxellomycetes; Kickxellales; Kickxellaceae. The record is from RNAcentral.
AGCACCAUAGCUCAGAGGAAGAGCGCAGGGCUCAUAACCCUGAGGUCCCAAGAUCGAAACUUGGUGGUGCUA